Molecule: ribosomal RNA, 882 nt
Filed under: Triticum aestivum (bread wheat)
Lineage: Eukaryota; Viridiplantae; Streptophyta; Magnoliopsida; Poales; Poaceae
Description: partial small subunit ribosomal RNA
Source: RNAcentral
AUGAUUGAGUGCAAGUUACCCAGAAAGCUAACUAUAUGGCUGAUGAAAAGAGUAGACUGCGACAGCAAGUGUCUAGUAUUCAGAAACAGGAAGGUUUCUAUAGUACAAGCUGUUGAAAACCUGUUGAAGUUACCUGCUCUUGACAAAGCAGUUCCAAUGCCCCGUCCAGGUAGGGUUCGUGACAAACCUUUCAGAGGUAAAACUGAAUUCAAGUCUGCUACGGCCGGAAGAGGAGAAUCACUCAAGGAAGCGACAGACAGGAUGUUAACGUACAAAGAGGAGAAAGACAAGGACAAGUUUUGCUUGUGUUUCAUGCAAGUCAUUCUUUGCGCCUACUUAGCUCCGACGACUGGUUACCAAAUUAAUAGAAGUUACCUGCUAGGAGCUUUGAAGGACUUGAGCGACAUCCCUCGUAUGAAUUGGUGUCGUUUUGCUGCUGAGUACCUUAUCGAGGCAAUCCGUGAAUCAAGGGAAAACAAAGUGCCCAACCUGAAUGUCGGUGGAUGCGUACAUAUUCUACAUCUCAUAUAUGUGGAUCUAUUUCAAUCACAUUUAGUCAAAAUACCUCAGGGUUACCCAAGGAUUAAAUAUGUGGGUUCAGCAGUACUGGAACAAAUAGAUCAUACUGGAAAAAAGAAGACACAAGACCAUUGCAAGUUGUUUGAGAGCUUACUGGAUGAUGAAAAGUUAGCAAUGUUCCCUACUGCAGAAGACCAUAAUGAUGAUCUUGAUGAUCACGAAAAAUCUACACAUUCCACCCCACCAGUAACAGCUAAUAUAAGUACUGUACCUUGUCAGGAGAAACAUAAACUUCCUCCACAAGUAGUACAAGUUUCUAAAAAGCGCCCGUCACAUCAAGCUACAGAUGAGGUGAUUUCUUAA